This 119-nucleotide ribosomal RNA is filed under the name Anneissia japonica. Lineage: Eukaryota; Metazoa; Echinodermata; Crinoidea; Comatulida; Comatulidae. The record is from RNAcentral.
GUCUAUGGCCAUACUACGUUGAAAACACCGGUUCUCGUCCGAUCACCGAAUUUAAGCAACGUCGGGCCCGGUUAGUACUUGGAUGGGUGACCGCCUAGGAAUACCGGGUGCUGUAGAGU